Molecule: long non-coding RNA, 323 nt
Organism: Scylla paramamosain (green mud crab)
Lineage: Eukaryota; Metazoa; Arthropoda; Malacostraca; Decapoda; Portunidae
Exons: 2
Source: RefSeq, a predicted model, not a curated record
CUUUUCUCCCGUUAUUGGCUUAGGCACGUUAAGGGAAGGAUCCAGUUUCUCCCAUGUGGUCAACUCCCAGAUGCCUCCGUCGUUCUUCCCUGCUGUCCAUCCUGGAGGAGGAGGAAGAGGAGAAACGUCCCGUCCCACACCCCGCCUGGCCCACCUGUCAGUCCACCCUCGAAGUCGAAAAGCAUCGGCUCGUUGUCCUCGAUGAUCUUGACGCCGUCCAACUGAAUGCUGCUCACGGCCACGGAGUUCUUCAUGUCGCCUCCGAGAGAAGCCUCUGUAGUGGGGAGGAUAAAAAUGGUGAUAAGUAUAAUAAUUUUUCCAGU